AGCGAACGCUGGCGGCAGGCCUAACACAUGCAAGUCGAGCGAACUCUUCGGAGUUAGUGGCGGACGGGUGAGUAACACGUGGGAACGUGCCUUUAGGUUCGGAAUAACUCAGGGAAACUUGUGCUAAUACCGAAUGUGCCCCCCGAUUCAUUUUGGGGUGGGAAAGAUUUAUCGCCUUUAGAGCGGCCCGCGUCUGAUUAGCUAGUUGGUGAGGUAAAGGCUCACCAAGGCGACGAUCAGUAGCUGGUCUGAGAGGAUGAUCAGCCACAUUGGGACUGAGACACGGCCCAAACUCCUACGGGAGGCAGCAGUGGGGAAUCUUGCGCAAUGGGCGAAAGCCUGACGCAGCCAUGCCGCGUGAAUGAUGAAGGUCUUAGGAUUGUAAAAUUCUUUCACCGGGGACGAUAAUGACGGUACCCGGAGAAGAAGCCCCGGCUAACUUCGUGCCAGCAGCCGCGGUAAUACGAAGGGGGCUAGCGUUGCUCGGAAUUACUGGGCGUAAAGGGAGCGUAGGCGGACAUUUAAGUCAGGGGUGAAAUCCCGGGGCUCAACCUCGGAAUUGCCUUUGAUACUGGGUGUCUUGAGUAUGAGAGAGGUGUGUGGAACUCCGAGUGUAGAGGUGAAAUUCGUAGAUAUUCGGAAGAACACCAGUGGCGAAGGCGACACACUGGCUCAUUACUGACGCUGAGGCUCGAAAGCGUGGGGAGCAAACAGG
Molecule: ribosomal RNA, 715 nt
Filed under: uncultured Caulobacteraceae bacterium
Lineage: Bacteria; Pseudomonadati; Pseudomonadota; Alphaproteobacteria; Caulobacterales; Caulobacteraceae
Description: bacterial SSU rRNA
Rfam family: Bacterial small subunit ribosomal RNA
Source: RNAcentral